GCUACUUUUAUGUCUGUUAUAGUUUAUGGGGAUAUUAUUUACAUGCAUGCUUCGGCAUCAACACUUAAAUCACCGGAUGCUACUUAUCAUUGCGCACUUAGGUUUAUUACGGGUGCUAGCACCAGAACUCACCACUCAGGUUUAUUACGGGUGCUAGCUCCAGAACUCACCACUCAGGUUUAUUACGGGUGCUAGCUCCAGAACUCACCACUCAGGUUUAUUACGGGUGCUAGCUCCAGAACUCACCACUCAGGUUUAUUACGGGUGCUAGCUCCAGAACUCACCACUCAGGUUUAUUACGGGUGCUAGCUCCAGAACUCACCACUCAGGUUUAUUACGGGUGCUAGCUCCAGAACUCACCACUCAGGUUUAUUACGGGUGCUAGCUCCAGAACUCACCACUCAGGUUUAUUACGGGUGCUAGCUCCAGAACUCACCACUCAGGUUUAUUACGGGUGCUAGCUCCAGAACUCACCACUCAGGUUUAUUACGGGUGCUAGCUCCAGAACUCACCACUCAGGUUUAUUACGGGUGCUAGCUCCAGAACUCACCACUGUGUUUAAUAUCAUAAUGUGGGUUGGACUUUGCUGUCCGUGGGACGAGAACAACAUGCUCUCGUUUUUGUUUAUAAAGCACUUCUGAAUAAGCUACCUUCUUAUUUAUCAUCACUCAUCAACAUUAUAAUUAUAAUUCCUAAAACCAGGUCUCAAGCAUGGAUUACACUCGAGGCCCAUGUGAUUUCCACAGAGUUGGGUAUGGCUGCCUGUUCCCGUUAUACUCCUUGCCUGUGGAAUAAGCCUGCAGACUAAACUAAAACAUGAGACUCUUGUCCCUCUGACGCUCAUUUUAAACAUUUAUUGGAGGAUUUUUAUUUUUGUAUUGCUUGUAACUGUUUCGGGUAAUGCAAGUUCUUGUGCUGUUAGUGGGAAUAACCUGUUAGGGGAAUAACCUGUUAAAGGAAUAACCUGUUAGGGGAAUAACCUGUUAAAGGAAUAACCUGUUAGGGGAAUAACCUGUUAAAGGAAUAACCUGUUAGGGGAAUAACCUGUUAGGGGAAUAACCUGUUAGGGGAAUAACCUGUUAGGGGAAUAACCUGUUAGGGAAUAACCUGUUAGGGGAAUAACAUGUUAGGGGA
Long non-coding RNA from Oncorhynchus keta (chum salmon), 1134 nucleotides. RefSeq lists it as uncharacterized. Lineage: Eukaryota; Metazoa; Chordata; Actinopteri; Salmoniformes; Salmonidae. The transcript is spliced from 3 exons. The record is from RefSeq and is a predicted model, not a curated record.